RNAcentral lists this transfer-messenger RNA (355 nucleotides) under Desulfobacterales. RNAcentral describes it as "QNYZ01 sp003973265 Standard tmRNA". It matches the Rfam family "transfer-messenger RNA". Rfam says of the family: Bacterial tmRNA, also known as 10Sa RNA or SsrA, is named for its dual tRNA and mRNA-like properties. Its role is to liberate the mRNA from a stalled ribosome. To accomplish this part of the tmRNA is used as a reading frame that ends in a translation stop signal. RNAcentral also lists the same sequence under 2 other names. Lineage: Bacteria; Pseudomonadati; Thermodesulfobacteriota; Desulfobacteria. The record is from RNAcentral.
GGGGGCGAAACGGCUUCGACGGGGAUAACGAAGCACCGGCUGCAUACCGAGGUGCCUAUCCGCUCGUAAAACGGUGGGAUUUAACAUAAUCGCAGACGAUUAUGAAUUAGCCCUGGCCGCUUAAUCAGGCCAGCGUCCUUCAGGAUUAUUCCUGUGAAUCCUGAAAGGACGUCGACUAACAGGAUAGUCUUUUCUCACUCUACCCACGGUAGAAAAGGCGAAUUUCAGUGGGUAAGCUUUCAAAAACCCCGGUCCGGAGGGGAUUUGAAAGACGAAAAUCAAAAUCCGGGAUAAGUAUGUAGACGCCUGUGUGGAAUAUUUUCGGACGCGGGUUCGACUCCCGCCGCCUCCACCA